GGAUAGCUCAGUUGGUAGUGCAACAGACUCUUAAUCUCAGGGUUAUGGGUUCAAGCCCCAUGUUGGGCA
This 69-nucleotide transfer RNA is filed under the name Podarcis lilfordi (Lilford's wall lizard). RNAcentral's name for it is "tRNA.Lys". The stretch from base 4 to 61 matches the Rfam family "tRNA", at positions 8 to 63 of the family's 71-position model. Rfam says of the family: Transfer RNA (tRNA) molecules are approximately 80 nucleotides in length. Their secondary structure includes four short double-helical elements and three loops (D, anti-codon, and T loops). The record is from RNAcentral. Lineage: Eukaryota; Metazoa; Chordata; Lepidosauria; Squamata; Lacertidae.